AUAUUACUAUACUGGCAUUUGUUUUUAAAAAGCUGUCGAUAUUCAACCAGCAUGCCUUGGACUUUAUUGUGGGAAGACCCUAUUAUUUAAAAAUGGCUCAACUGAAAUAUAUGGAGAAUGUGGGGUAUGCCCAAGAGGACAGAGAACGAAUGCACAGAAAUAUUGUCAGCCUUGCACAGAAUCUCCUGAACUUUAUGAUUGGCUCUAUCUUGGAUUUAUGGCAAUGCUUCCUCUGGUUUUACAUUGGUUCUUCAUUGAAUGGUACUCGGGGAAAAAGAGUUCCAGCGCACUUUUCCAACACAUCACUGCAUUAUUUGAAUGCAGCAUGGCAGCUAUUAUCACCUUACUUGUGAGUGAUCCAGUUGGUGUUCUUUAUAUUCGUUCAUGUCGAGUAUUGAUGCUUUCUGACUGGUACACGAUGCUUUACAACCCAAGUCCAGAUUACGUUACCACAGUGCACUGUACUCAUGAAGCCGUCUACCCACUAUAUACCAUUGUAUUUAUCUAUUAUGCAUUCUGCUUGGUAUUAAUGAUGCUGCUCCGACCUCUUCUGGUGAAGAAGAUUGCAUGUGGGUUAGGGAAAUCUGAUCGAUUUAAAAGUAUUUAUGCUGCACUUUACUUCUUCCCAAUUUUAACCGUGCUUCAGGCAGUUGGUGGAGGCCUUUUAUAUUAUGCCUUCCCAUACAUUAUAUUAGUGUUAUCUUUGGUUACUCUGGCUGUGUACAUGUCCGCUUCUGAAAUAGAGAACUGCUAUGAUCUUCUGGUCAGAAAGAAAAGACUUAUUGUUCUCUUCAGCCACUGGUUACUUCAUGCCUAUGGAAUAAUCUCCAUUUCCAGAGUGGAUAAACUUGAGCAAGAUUUGCCCCUUUUGGCUUUGGUACCUACACCAGCCCUUUUUUACUUGUUCACUGCAAAAUUUACUGAACCUUCACGGAUACUCUCAGAAGGAGCCAAUGGACACUGAGUGUAGACAUGUGAAAUGCCAAAAACCUGAGAAGUGCUCCUAAUAAAAAAGUAAAUCAAUCUUAACAAUGUAUGAGAACUAUUCUGUCAUAUAUGGGAACAAGAUUGUAAGUAUAUCUUAAUGUUUGGGUUUGUCUUUGUUUUGUUUAUGGUUAGACUUACAGACUUGGAAAAUGCAAAACUCCGUAAUACUCUGUUACACAGGGUAAUAUUAUCUGCUGUACUGGAAGGCCGCUAGGAAGCCCUUGCUUCUCUCAACAGUUCAGCUGUUCUUUAGGCAAAAUCAUGUUUCUGUGUACCUAGCAAUGUGUUCACAUUUUAUUAAGAAAAAAUUUAACCCGUGUAAUCUGCAAUCCUUAACAGUGGCAUAAUUGUACGUACCUGUUGUGUUUCAGUUUGUUUUUCACCUAUAAUGAACUGUAAAGACAUACAUACUUGUGGGGUCUGAUAGCAAACAUAGAAAUGAUGUAUAUUGUUUUUUGUUAUCUAUUUAUUUUCACCAAUACAGUAUUUUGAUGUAUUGCAAAAAUAGAUAAUAAUUUAUAUAACAGGUUUUCUGUUUAUAGAUUGGUUCAAGAUUUGUUUGGAUUAUUGUUCCUGUAAAGAAAACAAUAAUAAAAAGCUUAACUACAUAAAAUUUCAAUGUUUUGACACUUAAUUGUUGUUUGGCACAAUAGUAUGGAAGUAAUUCAGACUGGUAAAUAGUUUCCUCUCAUAUCUCGGGUAUAUAUACAUACCAUGUUUUAUCGACCCAGAGAUACUUAUUUCACAUUGUGACAUCUCUGAAUUAGGAUGCAUCUUACAACUGAUGGUUUAUUAGAUUUAAUGAAAUACAGAAGAUACACAGUAUAAAAAGGGUUUUCCUGUGGUUGGUUUGUGGUUUGUAAUAGGUGUUCUGUGAUGUUUAUGCUUUGAAGGCCUUGAGACUCAUGGUUGCAAUCAUGGAAGUGAAAUGAAAUUUUUAGCUCUUAACCUAACAAACAACCUGACCAUGUUUAUCCAUUUUUAUUGUUUAGAAGUUUUACUGAUACUUGGUGGAGGGUGUGAAUUAGUUAAAUUUUAAAUGUUUAAGACUUCUAUUAACAGCUGCAAAAUAUGAAAGUAAGUGCACUCACUUUUCCUGCAGUUGUCUGUCUUUUGAAUUCACAGCAGUUGUAUCCUUGAGUUAUUUUGUUAAUGUAUUUUUCUCAGUACAGUUAAGCACUGGGAAAUGAACCCUUGUACGAAUGUGUUUCUUCUUUUCUGUAGGAAUAAAAAAUAAAUGUAAAAAUGUUAUUUGUAUUGCACACGUUUGGGGGGUUAUUAGUGUUCAUUAAAAUUCUGAGUUGCCCAAAGAA
This 2300-nucleotide small RNA is filed under the name Pongo abelii (Sumatran orangutan). RNAcentral's name for it is "retained intron". The record is from RNAcentral. Lineage: Eukaryota; Metazoa; Chordata; Mammalia; Primates; Hominidae.